RNAcentral lists this long non-coding RNA (313 nucleotides) under Malurus cyaneus samueli. Its description in RNAcentral is "lncRNA (ENSMCSG00000013574.1)". The record is from RNAcentral. Lineage: Eukaryota; Metazoa; Chordata; Aves; Passeriformes; Maluridae.
CUUCGGGAAAAUUCUCUUCAGCAACACCACCAUUUUCCUGAGAUUUGAAGGGGAUGAAAAAGCUUGUGACCCCUCCCAAAGUUUCAAUGUUACUUGGUACUUAAGAUAUUCUGACUGCUACAAUGAAGUUUUCAACUUUGGGGAUGAACAAGCAGAUAACUAUUUUGGGACUACAGCUGAAGAGCAUCCGGGUUGGUCAGGAUACUAUGCCACUUCUUCUCUCAUCUUUCCAAACUGCUCUGAGCUCUUCAGGCCUCAGAUCUUCUAUAAAGAAUUUGUUCAUCCAGAACCUCUCUCACCUGAGAAACAGGAG